This 253-nucleotide ribosomal RNA is filed under the name uncultured bacterium. RNAcentral's name for it is "partial 16S ribosomal RNA". It matches the Rfam family "Bacterial small subunit ribosomal RNA", at positions 524 to 776 of the family's 1533-position model. The record is from RNAcentral.
UACGUAGGGCGCAAGCGUUGUCCGGAAUUAUUGGGCGUAAAGAGCUCGUAGGCGGUCUGUCGCGUCUGCUGUGAAAACCUAGGGCUUAACCCUGGGCCUGCAGUGGGUACGGGCAGACUAGAGUGCGGUAGGGGAGACUGGAAUUCCUGGUGUAGCGGUGAAAUGCGCAGAUAUCAGGAGGAACACCGGUGGCGAAGGCGGGUCUCUGGGCCGUAACUGACGCUGAGGAGCGAAAGCAUGGGGAGCGAACAGG